RNAcentral lists this non-coding RNA (233 nucleotides) under Enterococcus avium. RNAcentral's name for it is "T-box sequence". It matches the Rfam family "T-box leader". From Rfam's summary of the family: Uncharged tRNA acts as the effector for transcription antitermination of genes in the T-box leader family. T-boxes are found upstream of many aminoacyl-tRNA synthetase genes and some amino acid biosynthetic genes usually in Gram-positive bacteria. The anticodon of a specific tRNA base pairs to a specifier sequence within the T-box motif, and the NCCA acceptor tail of the tRNA base pairs to a conserved bulge in the T-box antiterminator hairpin. The record is from RNAcentral. Lineage: Bacteria; Bacillati; Bacillota; Bacilli; Lactobacillales; Enterococcaceae.
AAUUACGCAUUGAAGAGAAGAGUAGUUGAUCGCGAAACGUUUAAAAGAGACCCUCAGCUGGUGAAAAGAGGGAUCGUGGAAAAUCAGUGAAGAUGAGCUCUGAGCAUUCAGUUUGUUCACGCAAGCUGUACGGGAAGCGACCGUUAUAUCGCCGGGUAUGUCUGUACCGUUGAGGUAUUAUCUGCGAGGAUAAUACGAAUAAGGGUGGUAACGCGAAAAUAUUCGUCCCUUUA